Molecule: small RNA, 28 nt
Filed under: Bombyx mori (domestic silkworm)
Lineage: Eukaryota; Metazoa; Arthropoda; Insecta; Lepidoptera; Bombycidae
Description: ovarian small RNA-33546
Source: RNAcentral
UGCAUAAUGGCCACGUUCUCACAGUUGU